This 458-nucleotide ribosomal RNA is filed under the name uncultured bacterium. RNAcentral describes it as "bacterial SSU rRNA". It matches the Rfam family "Bacterial small subunit ribosomal RNA", at positions 53 to 524 of the family's 1533-position model. The record is from RNAcentral.
ACAUGCAAGUCGAACGGAAAGGCCCCAGCUUGCUGGGGUACUCGAGUGGCGAACGGGUGAGUAACACGUGGGUGAUCUGCCCUGCACUUCGGGAUAAGCCUGGGAAACUGGGUCUAAUACCGGAUAGGACCCUCCUUUAGUGUGGGGGGUGGAAAGUUUUUCGGUGUGGGAUGAGCCCGCGGCCUAUCAGCUUGUUGGUGGGGUAAUGGCCUACCAAGGCGUCGACGGGUAGCCGGCCUGAGAGGGUGGACGGCCACAUUGGGACUGAGAUACGGCCCAGACUCCUACGGGAGGCAGCAGUGGGGAAUAUUGCACAAUGGGCGGAAGCCUGAUGCAGCGACGCCGCGUGGGGGAUGACGGCCUUCGGGUUGUAAACCUCUUUCGACAGGGACGAAGCCUUUUGUGACGGUACCUGUAUAAGAAGCACCGGCUAACUACGUGCCAGCAGCCGCGGUAAU